AUACGGAGGGUGCAAGCGUUGUUCGGAAUCACUGGGCGCAAAGGGCGCGCAGGCGGUUUGGUAAGUCAGAUGUGAAAGCCCACGGCUCAACCGUGGAAGUGCAUUUGAAACUGUCAGACUUGAGUACUAGAGGGGAAAGUGGAAUUCCCGGUGUAGAGGUGAAAUUCGUAGAUAUCGGGAGGAAUACCGGUGGCGAAGGCGACUUUCUGGCUAGAUCCUGACGCUGAGGCGCGAAAGCGUGGGGAGCAAACAGGAUUAGAUACCCCAGUAGUCC
Molecule: ribosomal RNA, 274 nt
Filed under: uncultured bacterium
Lineage: Bacteria
Description: partial 16S ribosomal RNA
Rfam family: Bacterial small subunit ribosomal RNA
Source: RNAcentral